GUGAGGCGCCAGAGAAGAUACCUGGAGUUCCAGAGCCUUGAGCCGAUUGCUGACUCUGUUGGAGUAGGAACCCUGUCACCUCUGGUAAGUUACACACCUCAACACCCGGAUCAGCCACUCCCUGCUGAGGACAAUGGACCCACGAUGGGCAGCACACUAGAGUUCCUGUCUCCUCAUCUGCAGAUUAGAGCUUCCCCAGGAUCCACCCUGAGUGUUAGGAGGCUGGAGCUGGCAAAGAAGUGGGUACUGAAGGAUGAGGAGGAACUGGGCAUGGCGCUUUGGCCACCACUGUCCAUGAAGCCUUCAGGGGCAGACUUGCUGUGAAGGCUAUGGUUGGCAGCCUGGCAUUUCCCCUACCUCCAUGUGUGGACACUAACCAACCCCAGAAGGAAAUCUGUGUUGCAUGGACUGGAUGUACUACUGAGAGAAUAUUCAUCCCAUGAGGUGAAAACUUGAACUACCCCAUUUGCAGGAUAAGCACCCUGACUUAUGGGCUGCUCAGCAAAAAACAAACUAAGCAAGUAGGCAACCUGUGGAUUGAAUUGACUGCGAUGCAAUUCACAACUUUUCAAGUCUCAUAAGUGGCAGAAGGGUUUGACACUGUAAAUUUAGUAACAGACACAAAUGUGGCAACAUGUUCACUUCUCUCCCCAUCUCCAGCAUCUCUACAUAAAAGAUAACUCAUGUCAAAGUCUGCAUGAACAGUGGUGCACAGCAACCACUGAAAAGACCCAUAAGAUGGGUAUAACUAAUGAAUAGAGGCAAAGGACAAGUGACAUUUUUUCCUUUACUGCAAGAGGGGGCAGGUCUGGUGUGCUUGUCAUGCCCACAGAAUACAUGACAAGAUGCGCAGACUCUCAAGGCAAAGAUGACCUUCUUGGGCAUCCUUGUGGCUCUGGGUGUACCCAUGAGUUCAGAACCAAAUCGAAAUCUCCCUCUGUAGACAAAACUGAGGGCACUCUAGAGGGGUCGGAGACCACUACAGAAUAAUUUUCAGGUACCCUAUAUGGUUCAGAAUUUCACUAAGAGCAUUCUUGGAGAUUCUAUUGCCAAGGAGAUUGAUGGCAAUGACUAAGGGAGUACUGAUGGACAGGCAGGAGAACACUGAUCUGAAGGUCUGUCAUCACAAGCCCAGAAAAUCGGGUGUCUGCCGAGUUUCCCCAACAUUACCUACCAACCUUUUGAAGAAGCCCAAGAUGUGAUGGUAAUGGGACACCUAGCAAUGUCCAGAUAUUUCAAUUGCCAGAGGCUAUGCCAUCAGGUGCAUUGAGACAGAUGGGCACUCUAAAUCAUGCUGGAAGUAAUAGAGAAGGUCUUCAAAGGAUUCUUCCUUUUCUAGGCAAAUGCCAAGAGGACUGUCUAUACCUUAUGCUUUCUUCUAAGCCUAUGGAGCUCUUCCCACCACUGUUCAGGACUUCUUAAAUGGCAGACUAAGUUGGAGAAAGCAUUGAUUUCAGCCCAGAAUUCCAGCCAUCUCCCUAUGGGAUUGCUGGAGGUGGAACCUUUGAGUACUCAGUCUUUGGAAUAUGUAACAUGACUUCUGGUAUAUAUGAGAAGGAACCAUGCUUGUGGCUGCUCCGGGUCACCUUUGAAGCCUAUUCUGGAAUCUACAAAUGUGUCACAAUUGAAGAACUUGAAGACUCCUCUGAAGACUUGUCACUUCCUGCUGGGUCUAUGGUGCCAACAUGGGUUAAUUUGCCCCCGCAUUAGACCUCUGGCAACUACAGUAUCUGGACAUGGUUUGUGUGCAAUUCCCAUUGCAUUUUGCCCUCUUCAAAGGUUGAUGGCUAAUGUUGCAGACACUCUUCAUACUUUGGAGUUCUGUGGCUAUGGGAUGCCAAAGUCUCAGAUCGUUGUCCUCCUACCUGCACUCCGCUAUUGCUCCCAACUCAUUGGCAUCAAUUUCUAUGAUAAUGGAAUCUCCAAGCAUGUGAGUGAGGUUCUGGACCAUGCAGGGAACCUGAGAAGGAGGAUUCUGGAGCAGUACUCUGCCCCUCUGGAGUGUCAUCAUAACCAGUUUUGUGGGAUUUCAUCAAGCUUGCCUGAGCUCAUGUGUACACUCAGGACCAUAAAGAAGUCCCAUGAAGUCACCUUUGCCUAAAGUGUCUGCACAUCAAGUCAUGUAUGCAGUGUAUGACAAGCUGACCUGAUUUUGUCUCUUUGCAGUAAAGAGGAAAAUGUCACUUGUCCUUUUUCCCUGGUCAUUAUGUUCCAUCUAUGGUAUAUCUUCCAUCUACGUGCCUAUACAGUUGUUGUGCAUAAAAUUGUUACACUGAUAAUAGACCCUCUAAUGAAGGUUUUGGAGGAAUUUACAAUUAAAUCUAGAACACUCAGGACUGGAUCACAGUAUAAACAUCAAACAUAGCUGAAGCAUAAAGCAAAAGGAAUACUGGGUAGACCAUACUAUCUGUCUCUUAUGUUUUUCUUAUAUUCCAAGGUAACCUGUUAAUCAUGAAAUUGUUUAAUACUUUCGCUGUUUUUAAUCAUGUGUGGGUAUGUUUUUACUUUAUGUACUUUGGUGUUUUGUCUGUUUGAGGGCAUCAGUGGGAAUUGAACCUGGGUCCUCUGGAGGAGCGGCCAACGUUCUUAACCGCUGAGCCAUCUCUCCAGCUCAUAUGUGUGGGUAUGUUAAUACUGGUGCAAGUGCCAAAAGCAUAGGAGACUAAGGCAUUAGAUCUCUAUACCUGGAGUGACAAUUGUGUACAGCCUGACAUGGGGCUAGGACCCAAACUUGUCUCCUCAGGAAGAGGUGUGCGUGCUGUUAAGGCCAAGCCCUCUCUACCUCCAGGCCUUGAAGUCUUGCAUCUCUUAUUGACUGAUCCUCCGCCUCCUAUGUUGCUAACAUCACUUACAGGGACCAACAUGUUGAGCCUCUGUGCAACAUGGCUUUGAGGCCCCAUUUUCUGGGCUCUUAAACUCAGCAGGGUAACGGUGUAUAUAGGUCUCUAAUACAAAACAAACGUACUUCAACUAUCCUAAAGCACUUGCUGGACCUAAUACCUGUAUUUUAACUCUUCGAUUGUAAUAUACAUCUUAUUAUAAAAGCCACGCAAGUAAUUAUACUUUUUAUGGAGCUCACAUAGUAAGAAUAUAAGAUUUGUUCAUGUUCCUUUUAUUAAAAUAGACUGGUGAUCAA
Mesocricetus auratus (golden hamster) is the source of this 3136-nucleotide long non-coding RNA. RefSeq lists it as uncharacterized. The record is from RefSeq and is a predicted model, not a curated record. Lineage: Eukaryota; Metazoa; Chordata; Mammalia; Rodentia; Cricetidae. The transcript has 6 exons.